Molecule: unclassified non-coding RNA, 2944 nt
Filed under: Hevea brasiliensis (rubber tree)
Lineage: Eukaryota; Viridiplantae; Streptophyta; Magnoliopsida; Malpighiales; Euphorbiaceae
Source: RNAcentral
GAGAUAUUUCAUACAGUGUGGCACUCCUGUUGCUGGGAACGACAACAGUUUAACACAUGAGAAGAUAGUCAAGCCUCUUAGAGCUGUGAGGCUGUGCAGCCCAUUUGGCAGAUUCUCCAAAUUAGGACAACCAAAUAUCAUCAAAUCUUGAAGAUUGCAAGGCAAUUCCCCUACCUGUCCCACUACCAAAGUCACCAGUUGCUUACAAUUCCUGAUAUGUAAAUGCUUUAGAUGGGCAAGUUUGUCAAAACUGCUUCCAUCCUUCCACAAAUACUUUAGUUCAUGACAACGUAUAAUCCACAAUUCUUCUAGUGCCACUAACUCCUCUAUAUGAGCUUCAUGUAAACUUACAAGACCUAAGAUGUCAAUAAUAUGCAAGGUAGUAAGAGAUGUGAGAUCAGACAGACUUCUAAGAACAACCUCUUCACAGCGUUCAAUUGACAGUGCUCGCAAAGAUUGUAGACAGCUGGGCAAUUCAAUAACAAGUUUCGGACAAUUUUGCAAUUCAAGCUUAUGUAGAACAGGAAGUGUUACAGAAGCCUCCUCGUUCCGAUCAUGAGACCAAGACCAUAACUCCAACUCCAACAUAUCCACCAUAGUUAAAGUCUUAAGAGAAGUAAAAGAUGAACCAUCCCCAUGAAACUCCAUGCCCAGUCUCUUCACUCUAUUCAUGCCUCGUAUACUCAACUCUACAAGUGAGGGUAAUUGCCCAAAUGGAGGUAAUGACAUGAUGUUCCGACAGUUCCAGAGUUCUAGCUUUUCAAUUUUUGUGAACGCUCCUAUCCAUGCUGGGAAUUCAGUUCCACCAAAUGAUUUAAUUGAAAGCCGUAAUAGAUUUUGAGGAGGCCUUAAUGAGCUGAGAACCUGCAUAUCGUCACUUGGAUUUCUGGAACCAGAGGAAUCAAUAGCCCAUUCCAAGUCUAGUUGUUCUAGGCACUGCUUCUCUUUUAAAUUGGCAAACUCUGCUUCCUGAAUGUUUACCACAUUUUCUAUCCCUGAAAUAUGAAGCAGCCCAGACAAAUGAGGAAAAUUUUUCAGCUCUAUUAUCUUGAGUCCGUUGUCUUCUCCCACAAUAAACUUGGUCAGCGUGCGAAGAUUUGCCAAAUUACUAAUUUGCAGUGGCAUCUCCUUCAGCUUCUUGGUACCACUAAUAUCAAGGAACAGCAAGCUAAUUAAAUUGCCUAUGCCUAAGGGUAACUCAGUAAGACACUGGCAACCACGUAAUAUUAAUGCUUGCAAGUUCAAUAGUUCAGUCACUGACUCGGGCAAUCUUUCAAUUUGAGUGUAAGAUAGGUUAAGAUACCUUAAAUGCUUUAAGGCACCAAUAGAAUUUGGCAACUCCACAAAGCUAUAACCAGACAGUGACAACACCCUCAAGCACUUUAACUCUGGCACCAAGUCUUGUAGCAGCUUACUAGUUAAGUGGUUUCCACAAUGUCCUCUCAUGAUUGGCAAUGCUAAGAAUGUUCGUAAACCUGUUGCUUCGUGAAAGCCUUCAAAUCUUUGCCAUGUAUCAUACAGAUGAGAAGUGAAUGAUGAAUGCCGAACCUUUGCACAUGAAUUCAUAUUGUCCAACUUGCCACCCAAAUGAAAACAUGUUUCUUUAGUGACAGACUGGGCUAAAUCAUUCAUCAAGUCAUGCAUUACAUAUAAAGAUUUAUCACUACUAGAUUGUUGAAAAAACGAUCUUGAUAAUAAAUCAUGAAAAUAUUCAUGGCCUAAGUCCUCAAUUGGCUUCAUUUCAUUUGGUUGUCGCAGAAAACCUUCUGCCAUCCAAAGUAAAACCAGCUCUUUCUUGUCAAAUUUGUAGUCCUUUGGGAAUACUGCACAGUAAGCAAAACACCUUUUCAAGUGGGAAGGAAGAUGAUGGUAGCUUAACCGCAAAGCUGGAAGUAUACCAUUUUUUUCCUCAGGUAAAUCCCAUAUCUUGCUGUUCAACACUUCUUUCCAGACAUUGCAAUCUAGUUUACCUCUCAAGAGGCCUCCAAGGGCCUUAGCAGCCAAAGGCAAUCCUUGACACCUUUUAGCAAUUUUCUUCCCUAUUUCCUCCAAUUUUGAGUGUGCAUCAAAAUUUUUUGCUCCCAAAGCAUGUUGAGCAAACACAGCCAGACAAUCAUCAUCUGACAACUCCUUAAGAGGAUAAGCUGGAACAUUACCCAUCAUUAAUGAAACACCUUGAUUACGAGUUGUGACUAUGAUUCUGCUUCCUGGUGCCCCUGCUACAAAAGGACCACAAAAGAGAGUCCAAUCAUCAUAAUUCUCACUCCAAACGUCAUCUAAGACAACUAAAAAUUUCUUUCCUGAUAAAUUCUCCUUCAAUUUUACUUGAAGUGAAUCUAAAUCUUUGGCAUCACCAUCUUCUGACUGGAGAAUUGUUUUCGUUAUCCCAAUAACAUCAAAGUGCUCACCCACAGACACCCAGGACUUAAAAUCAAAGUCUAAUGUAGCAUCAUUAAAGAUGAGUUGAGCAAGAGUUGUCUUGCCUAUGCCUCCCAUACCAAUUAUAGGAAUAACACAAAUUUCUGCACCACUUACUUCAGUCUUCAGUAGUACAAGUAACGCCUUCAGAUCGUCUUCUCUUCCAUAAACCUUUGCUUCAUUCACCAAUGACGUUGAGGGCUGUCUUUCUCUCACACGGUUGCUUCUUCUUCCCGUGCUCUCUCGUAGAUCCAGGUCGUGUUUUCCUGCUGUGAUCUUUUCUAAUCUGGCAGUAAUUUCCUCCAUCUUGGAAAGCAGCUUGGAGUUGAACUUUACUGUUCUUGGAUUUACUCCAAAACAAGUUGGUAUGGAUUUCUUCACCUUAUUUGUGAUAGCUAGAGGUUUUACUACCAGCCUCCGUCGCAAAGCCUCAGUAGCAAACUCAUCAAGUACGUCCUCCACAUCAUAAGCCAAGUUUCUAAGCUCGCUAACCCAGAUUUUCACCAACUGGUUAGUCAACUGCUUC